Molecule: ribosomal RNA, 318 nt
Filed under: Triticum aestivum (bread wheat)
Lineage: Eukaryota; Viridiplantae; Streptophyta; Magnoliopsida; Poales; Poaceae
Description: partial small subunit ribosomal RNA
Source: RNAcentral
AUGUUGAGUGCCUUGCCAUAUAUUUGCUUCUCGCACCAUGCUCAUCUCACUUGUUAUGUUGCAUUGUACCCUUGUCAUUUUGCAUUUCAUCAUGCUCAUCAUGUGGGUUGCAUUCUUCAUGUUGUGUGUGCAUCAGCCCUUACUAGAUCUCUCAAGCCAUAUGCCCAUGUAUCAUCACCUCUCCCUUCCUUCUUCCUUCAUGUUUUUGCAAGUGACAUUAUUCCCUCCUCUAUUAAUGUUCAUUUAUUUCCUGAUGAUCAUACUCAAUACAUUAUACCUCUAUGCCAAGUCUCAUCCCAUUUGGAGUUGUUUUGGUAG